UGUCCAUAACUUACAGGGAGUGGUCGUUCUGUACACAAAGUUCCUGAUGCUAUCCCCGAGGCAUUUGCCUGCACUAGGUCCUGUGAGUGGGCAACUUGACUGGGUAAUGUGAUUCGUGGCUCUAACCCUUCUUGGGAAGGCAGGUAGGUUCAGUUUUGUAACGGCAACUCAGUCAAGUCAGACUGCCAGUGCUUACAGAUAGAUCAGUAGCAGGAGGAGCGGCUGUUUCUGCCUUGAGAGAAUGACUCAAGGUCUUUGGCAUGAAGAUAUGAAACAUUGGCUCCUGUUCAUGCACCUGCUGGAUGCCACACCUGUAGUCAGCACCUGAGUGCCACUCACACACAAAAACCCGACUGAAGACAAAUGGGACUUCCUUCCAAAGGGGUACAGCAAAAUAGAGAGCUCCCAAUUGUGUUAGUGGAGCUUGUCUGGGAAUUACAUGUAGCUGUCUGUCCCAGUUGUUGACUUGGGGAAACGUUUUAGAUAUUUUCUUCUAGGUGCAGCACACUCACUUGCUCAAGAUACUGUUGGAGUGCUGACGGAGUUGGCUUUUCAAAUGAAUUUUUCUUAUGAACUGGCCUCUUAAAUACCAGAGAGGCAGUCUGUGGAGGUUUUUGUCUUAUAAUCAAGCACAGGGCAGGAAGUUACAAGAUGUGGCCUUACUGCUGCUGAGGGGGAUAACAGAAGUGAAAGAGCUUUUGACUCCUUAGAAGGCUGAGAAACUAAAGAGUGACCAGUGGUUGAACUCUUGGCGGCGCUUACCCUGAACCUGAGUGUUAGGGGAGAGGGACUCUGCCACUGCGGUUUCUGGAGCUGUUCAUAAGCAAGAAUUCCCUAUCCUGAUCAAGGCUUUAAGCCUAAGAAAGCAGAAAUAGGUAUGGACAAUAAGGGUUUGUGUGUGUGUGUGUGUGUGUGUGUGUGUGUGUGUGUGUACACGUGCAUGUGUUCACCCAU
Castor canadensis (American beaver) is the source of this 954-nucleotide non-coding RNA. The record is from RefSeq and is a predicted model, not a curated record. Lineage: Eukaryota; Metazoa; Chordata; Mammalia; Rodentia; Castoridae.